UACGAAGGGGGCUAGCGUUGUUCGGAAUUCCUGGGCGUCAAGCGCGCGCAGGCGGCCUUGCAAGUCAGUGGCGAAAUCCCAGAGCUUAACUCCGGAAUUGCCAUUGAAACUGCGAGGCUUCGAGUACGGGAGAGGUGAGUGGAAUUCCCAGUGUAGAGGUGAAAGUCGUAGAUAUUGGGAAGAACACCGGUGGCGAAGGCGGCGCACUGGCCCGUUACUGACGCUCAGGCGCGACAGCGUGGGGAUCAAACAGG
This 254-nucleotide ribosomal RNA is filed under the name uncultured bacterium. RNAcentral's name for it is "partial 16S ribosomal RNA". It matches the Rfam family "Bacterial small subunit ribosomal RNA", at positions 524 to 776 of the family's 1533-position model. The record is from RNAcentral.